UUUGUAUGAAAGUCCUAUGUUUUUGAAGUAAGAGACUUGAAAUUUCAAAUGUAAGCUCUAUAGAUGGUGAAAAGGUGUCCAAAUAAUGUAUCUUUAGAAAAUAAAUCCAUUUUGGGGUUACAAAGGGGGAUGGUAGGUUGACUUAGUCAUCACGAAAUCUCCGAAACUAUAACACCUACAAGCUUGAAAUUUGGCAGGUAGGCUCCUUAUAAG
This 213-nucleotide unclassified non-coding RNA is filed under the name Melitaea cinxia (Glanville fritillary). RNAcentral describes it as "misc RNA ENSMCXG00005020874.1". The record is from RNAcentral. Lineage: Eukaryota; Metazoa; Arthropoda; Insecta; Lepidoptera; Nymphalidae.